UGGAUUUUAAGAAUUGCCAUUAGUCCCUACAAAACGAUAUAAAAUGUCACUAAUAGAGAGAAAAAAAUCAGGUGCAACGAUAUGAACUCAAAACAAUUACUGAAAGAAGAAAAUAUACCAUAAGAUUCAGGACAAUCAUGGUCAGCACAAGUAAGAUAAUUGCUGAAGUCCAAAAACUAGAUGAAGCAAAACGUCAAAAGAAUCAGAGUUAAUAUUACAGCUACAAAAAAUAAAGGUGUUUUAUUCCAGAAAGCAAGAAAGGAUAGGAAUGAAAUGGCAUUCCAAUAUAUAAUCUACUAACCUACAUGUGAUAACUAAGCAUACAAU
Molecule: long non-coding RNA, 327 nt
Filed under: Capsicum annuum
Lineage: Eukaryota; Viridiplantae; Streptophyta; Magnoliopsida; Solanales; Solanaceae
Description: long non-coding RNA (CANN_LNC000247)
Source: RNAcentral